GGAGGGUGCAAGCGUUAUCCGGAUUCACUGGGUUUAAAGGGUGCGUAGGCGGGUAUGUAAGUCCGUGGUGAAAUCUCCGAGCUUAACUCGGAAACUGCCGUGGGUACUGCGUAUCUUGAAUGUUGUGGAGGUGAGCGGAAUAUGUCAUGUAGCGGUGAAAUGCUUAGAUAUGACAUAGAACACCAAUUGCGAAGGCAGCUCACUACACAGAAAUUGACGCUGAGGCACGAAAGCGUGGGGAUCAAACAGGAUUAGAUACCCUGGUAGUCCACGCCCUAAACGAUGAUUACUCGACAUACGCGAUACACAGUGUGUGUCUGAGCGAAAGCAUUAAGUAAUCCACCUGGGAAGUACGACCGCAAGGUUGAA
This 369-nucleotide ribosomal RNA is filed under the name uncultured bacterium. Its description in RNAcentral is "bacterial SSU rRNA". It matches the Rfam family "Bacterial small subunit ribosomal RNA", at positions 527 to 898 of the family's 1533-position model. The record is from RNAcentral.